Ictidomys tridecemlineatus (thirteen-lined ground squirrel) is the source of this 136-nucleotide small nucleolar RNA. The record is from Ensembl. Lineage: Eukaryota; Metazoa; Chordata; Mammalia; Rodentia; Sciuridae.
AGCACUAUAUUUAAACCUGUGGAUGGGAAUUUUCCCCAUUCUUGGUUACGCUGUAGUGCGAAAUAAUUCCUGUCUCUUCUGUUGCACAGCUGACUUGUAUAAUUCUGCUGUUGCUUUAUGGAGUUAAGGAACAUGA